This 173-nucleotide ribosomal RNA is filed under the name Peziza ostracoderma. RNAcentral describes it as "5.8S ribosomal RNA". The stretch from base 1 to 154 matches the Rfam family "5.8S ribosomal RNA". Rfam says of the family: 5.8S ribosomal RNA (5.8S rRNA) is a component of the large subunit of the eukaryotic ribosome. It is transcribed by RNA polymerase I as part of the 45S precursor that also contains 18S and 28S rRNA. The record is from RNAcentral. Lineage: Eukaryota; Fungi; Ascomycota; Pezizomycetes; Pezizales; Pezizaceae.
AACUUUCAACAACGGAUCUCUAGGCUCUUGCAUCGAUGAAGAACGCAGUGAAAUGCGAUAAGUAAUGUGAAUUGCAGAAUCUCGUGAAUCAUCGAAUCUUUGAACGCACAUUGCGCCCUAUGGUAUUCCGUAGGGCAUGCCUGUCUGAGCGUCAGCUCCCCCCCACUCAAGCA